RNAcentral lists this unclassified non-coding RNA (345 nucleotides) under soil metagenome. RNAcentral's name for it is "partial contains 5.8S ribosomal RNA, internal transcribed spacer 2, and large subunit ribosomal RNA". The stretch from base 1 to 119 matches the Rfam family "5.8S ribosomal RNA", at positions 35 to 154 of the family's 154-position model. The record is from RNAcentral.
GAUGAAGAACGCAGCGAAAUGCGAUACGUAAUGUGAAUUGCAAAUUCAGUGAAUCAUCGAGUCUUUGAACGCACAUUGCGCCCCCUGGUAUUCCGGGGGGCAUGCCUGUCCGAGCGUCAUUGCUGCCCUCAAGCACGGCUUGUGUGUUGGGCCCCGUCCUCCGAUCCCGGGGGACGGGCCCGAAAGGCAGCGGCGGCACCGCGUCCGGUCCUCGAGCGUAUGGGGCUUUGUCACCCGCUCUGUAGGCCCGGCCGGCGCUUGCCGAUCAACCCAAAUUUUUUAUCCAGGUUGACCUCGGAUCAGGUAGGGAUACCCGCUGAACUUAAGCAUAUCAAUAAGCGGGGA